AGUCUUUGAGUGCUUGGUUGAACUUCCCGGCACCAAUUACUCGAAAGCAAAGAGAAUCGAAUAUUACCCUGACGCCCUUCACGAAUUAUCUUCAGCGUCCCAUACAACGUGGUUGUCAUGGUUACCUCUAGCUUGGAAUGUCAAGUUAGCUUACAUUUGGAAUUGGUUAUGGCAUUGAAGGUACUUUAUCGGUACUGGAAUUCUCGGUUUUCAUGGGUGCUCGACAAGAUGUUUGUCAUUGCGGUGAACGCCAGAUAUUUCAGAAGAAAAGUGCCUGAAUCUAUUCUUUUCCCUGUACAUAUCAUCAGUUAAAAAUCCCUAUAUUUUGCAUAAAAUUAUUAAUCAUAUCACUAUUUAUAUUAUUAUAUAUUAUCUAUAUGGUAUCACUAUUUAUAUAUUAUCUAUAUGGUAAUCCAAUGCAUAAAAUGUAAGAAUUAAAAACCGAAUAGAUUUACGAAAGUGGUUCAUAAAAAUGGGUAGAAAAAAUAUCUAUUAAUAUAUUUACAUUAUGAAACUAGUUUUUAAAGCAUUUUCCGAAUUUCUUUUCUUUCCGAAUUUUAUUACAAAGUUUGCAAUUAAAACUCUCAUUAACAAACAUAAUAUUGAGUAUAUGCAUCUAUAUUAGUUUUUAAAUUCCUUUAUAUGUUUAAAUAUUUUCCCUAAAUUUGCAAAACAGUUUUCUAAACUUAGCUACAAGAUCAGUUGCAACGCAAAUGUUACGACCUAAGCCUUUCAGAACAUAUUUUACUCAUAAUUUUUAAUUAAGCCUUAUUAACAUGGCUCUUUUCAUAAACAUAACUAUUGUUAAAUAUUAAAUAUGAUCCUUUUUUAUGAUGAUUUGUUAUAAAAAAGUUCUUUAUAAGAGAAUAAGCUGACAGAAGUGUUGACAUAUUACAUCCAAAACAGGUCAAGAUUUUGCAAGAAACUAAUCCUUUUCAAUAAUAAUGUAAAUUAUAAAAUAGAUCAAAAAUGAAAAUAAUUGCAUUUUUGAUAAAAAGCAUCAACUUUCAAACUUUAUUAAUCAGGAGCUCUUAUUUAUCUGUAAUUCGUUCUCAUUGCGCUCCAUGUUUUCCCCUUUUAUACAAUGAAUCAAGAAUCUAUCGAAAAGAACUCUUUAAAAUCCGUUAAUAUAGGAUCACCACGCAGUUUUAAUAGCUUCAGUAUUUAAUUAGCAAUAACAAAUUCAUGAAUGUUUUUGAAUUUUAAACAAUUAAUUUGGAGUGUAACUUUUGCUACAAAUCUAAGCAUACUGUACUAUAUGUAAUUUUGUUUUCAGUCAGGGAAAAAAAAAAAAAAAAAAGAAAAAAAGAAAAAAAACCCUUGUACACCUCAGAUCAACCACUUUUAUUUUCUUGAGUCUUUCGUUAUAGAUUUUAAUAUCAAAAAAACCUUAACUAAAAAUACAUACUAAACUCGGUGAAGUAUUGUUUCUAUGUAAACGUCUCAGAUGCUUGUUAUCACUUUCAUAUGUAAGAUGUCUGAAAAACGGAGUGUUGUUUUUUAGGCGUUAAAUAUGAAUAUUGCUGAAUAUGAAAUGUUUGUUUAUAAGCAGCAUAUGCUUGAAAUGUUAAUUGAUGUUGUUAUACGCUCACAUUUAUAUUUUAUCUUGUAUUUUGCGUUUAUAAUAACGCAUCCUUUAUAAAAAAACAUUUUGGAAUUAUUUUAUAAAUAAUAUAAUUUUUUGCUUGCUGAUGCUAACGUAUCAUGAUACAAUGUGAAGCUUGUUAUUUAAUACAUGUAUUACAUGUACACACAUGUCUAAUACAAUGUGUAUAAUACAUUAUACAUUUAUUCCAAGGUAUGUCCUAUAAUGACUGUGAAAACUGUAUGUAAAAUAUGCCGUUUUAUAAAGAAACAUCCAAGAACAAAUGUAAAAUAAAAAUGUGAAUUGAUUUUGAA
RNAcentral lists this long non-coding RNA (1899 nucleotides) under Stegodyphus dumicola. RNAcentral's name for it is "uncharacterized LOC118194110". Lineage: Eukaryota; Metazoa; Arthropoda; Arachnida; Araneae; Eresidae. The record is from RNAcentral.